GACGAACGCUGGCGGCGUGCUUAACACAUGCAAGUCGAACGGAAAGGCCCUGCUUUUGUGGGGUGCUCGAGUGGCGAACGGGUGAGUAACACGUGAGUAACCUGCCCUUGACUUUGGGAUAACUUCAGGAAACUGGGGCUAAUACCGGAUAGGAGCUCCUGCUGCAUGGUGGGGGUUGGAAAGUUUCGGCGGUUGGGGAUGGACUCGCGGCUUAUCAGCUUGUUGGUGGGGUAGUGGCUUACCAAGGCUUUGACGGGUAGCCGGCCUGAGAGGGUGACCGGCCACAUUGGGACUGAGAUACGGCCCAGACUCCUACGGGAGGCAGCAGUGGGGAAUAUUGCACAAUGGGCGGAAGCCUGAUGCAGCAACGCCGCGUGCGGGAUGACGGCCUUCGGGUUGUAAACCGCUUUCGCCUGUGACGAAGCGUGAGUGACGGUAAUGGGUAAAGAAGCACCGGCUAACUACGUGCCAGCAGCCGCGGUGAUACGUAGGGUGCGAGCGUUGUCCGGAUUUAUUGGGCGUAAAGGGCUCGUAGGUGGUUGAUCGCGUCGGAAGUGUAAUCUUGGGGCUUAACCCUGAGCGUGCUUUCGAUACGGGUUGACUUGAGGAAGGUAGGGGAGAAUGGAAUUCCUGGUGGAGCGGUGGAAUGCGCAGAUAUCAGGAGGAACACCAGUGGCGAAGGCGGUUCUCUGGGCCUUUCCUGACGCUGAGGAGCGAAAGCGUGGGGAGCGAACAGGCUUAGAUACCCUGGUAGUCCACGCUGUAAACGGUGGGUACUAGGUGUGGGGUCCAUUCCACGGGUUCCGUGCCGUAGCUAACGCUUUAAGUACCCCGCCUGGGGAGUACGGCCGUAAGGCUAAAACUCAAAGGAAUUGACGGGGCCCCGCACAAGCGGCGGAGCAUGCGGAUUAAUUCGAUGCAACGCGUAGAACCUUACCUGGGUUUGACAUGGAUCGGGAGCGCUCAGAGAUGGGUGUGCCUCUUUUGGGGUCGGUUCACAGGUGGUGCAUGGCUGUCGUCAGCUCGUGUCGUGAGAUGUUGGGUUAAGUCCCGCAACGAGCGCAACCCUUGUUCACUGUUGCCAGCACGUUAUGGUGGGGACUCAGUGGAGACCGCCGGGGUCAACUCGGAGGAAGGUGGGGAUGACGUCAAGUCAUCAUGCCCCUUAUGUCCAGGGCUUCACGCAUGCUACAAUGGCUGGUACAGAGAGUGGCGAGCCUGUGAGGGUGAGCGAAUCUCGGAAAGCCGGUCUCAGUUCGGAUUGGGGUCUGCAACUCGACCUCAUGAAGUCGGAGUCGCUAGUAAUCGCAGAUCAGCAACGCUGCGGUGAAUACGUUCCCGGG
This 1343-nucleotide ribosomal RNA is filed under the name uncultured bacterium. RNAcentral's name for it is "16S ribosomal RNA". It matches the Rfam family "Bacterial small subunit ribosomal RNA", at positions 28 to 1378 of the family's 1533-position model. The record is from RNAcentral.